RNAcentral lists this ribosomal RNA (301 nucleotides) under uncultured bacterium. RNAcentral describes it as "partial 16S ribosomal RNA". It matches the Rfam family "Bacterial small subunit ribosomal RNA", at positions 509 to 807 of the family's 1533-position model. The record is from RNAcentral.
CAGCCGCCGCGGUAACACGGAGGGUGCAAGCGUUAAUCGGAAUUACUGGGCGUAAAGCGUGCGUAGGCGGUUCGUUAAGUCUGUUGUGAAAGCCCCGGGCUCAACCUGGGAAUGGCAAUGGAUACUGGCGAGCUAGAGUGUGUCAGAGGAUGGUGGAAUUCCCGGUGUAGCGGUGAAAUGCGUAGAUAUCUGGAAGAACACCGAUGGUGAAGGCAGCCUCCUGGGCCUGAUUUGACGCUGAGGCACGAAAGCGUGGGGAGCAAACAGGAUUAGAUACCCCAGUAGUCCCUGUCUCUUAUAC